GGGGAUAUAGCUCAGUUGGUAGAGUGCUUGCCUUGCAUGCACAAGGCCCUGGAUUCAAUCCCUAGCCCCA
Molecule: transfer RNA, 70 nt
Filed under: Ictidomys tridecemlineatus (thirteen-lined ground squirrel)
Lineage: Eukaryota; Metazoa; Chordata; Mammalia; Rodentia; Sciuridae
Description: Spermophilus tridecemlineatus (thirteen-lined ground squirrel) tRNA
Rfam family: tRNA
About the family: Transfer RNA (tRNA) molecules are approximately 80 nucleotides in length. Their secondary structure includes four short double-helical elements and three loops (D, anti-codon, and T loops).
Source: Rfam by way of RNAcentral